GAUGAACGCUGGCGGCGUGCCUAAUACAUGCAAGUCGAGCGAACAGACGAGGAGCUUGCUCCUCUGACGUUAGCGGCGGACGGGUGAGUAACACGUGGAUAACCUACCUAUAAGACUGGGAUAACUUCGGGAAACCGGAGCUAAUACCGGAUAAUAUAUUGAACCGCAUGGUUCAAUAGUGAAAGACGGUUUUGCUGUCACUUAUAGAUGGAUCCGCGCCGCAUUAGCUAGUUGGUAAGGUAACGGCUUACCAAGGCAACGAUGCGUAGCCGACCUGAGAGGGAGGUCGGCCACCCUGGAUCUGAGGCACGGCCCAGACUCCUGCGGGGGGCAGCAGUAGGGAAUCUUCCGCAAUGGGCGAAAGCCUGACGGAGCAACGCCGCGUGAGUGAUGAAGGUCUUCGGAUCGUAAAACUCUGUUAUUAGGGAAGAACAAAUGUGUAAGUAACUAUGCACGUCUUGACGGUACCUAAUCAGAAAGCCACGGCUAACUACGUG
Molecule: ribosomal RNA, 497 nt
Filed under: uncultured bacterium
Lineage: Bacteria
Description: partial 16S ribosomal RNA
Rfam family: Bacterial small subunit ribosomal RNA
Source: RNAcentral